Long non-coding RNA from Columba livia (rock pigeon), 14394 nucleotides. RefSeq lists it as uncharacterized. Lineage: Eukaryota; Metazoa; Chordata; Aves; Columbiformes; Columbidae. The record is from RefSeq and is a predicted model, not a curated record. The transcript has 8 exons.
UGGUGUUGUCCAGGAGCAGGUGGGAUGGAGUUCAAGCAGAUUGGUGAAUGUUUCCACAGGGUAACAGAUCAGGGUUUGUCCAACCAUAUCUAAAUAUCAUGUCCUUCUGAGCUAUAUUGAAAUACUCAAGGGGAAAAAAUAUUAUCUGGUCUUUGUCAUAAAUGCAGCUAAGCUUUCUUCUCAACUAUUCCUUGAUAUUGAUCAUCUCAAUACAAAGGCACUAAUAGGGAAAUAUGAAGUGCUGUCCGAAGAAAACCUACAAAUGGAUUUUCAGGGGUUACCUUUGAUCUAACGUUUUCCACUUUAAUUAAUUAUUAAAAAGAAGUUAGCUUAUCUGUAGGAUUUAAUUAAACAAAUCAAUGCCACUUUUGAGUAACAGAAGUAAAAAUAUUAUUCUUAAGCUAGUGCACUUAAAACAUCCACAAAUUUCUCUAAUAUUUCUUUAAAAGUGCUUUCAAGCUGAGAAUCUGUUCUAUGGCUGAGCUGGAGGAAAAUUUAAUGGCUGAGUUAAAACCCUCUCUCCCGAAAAGUAGGAAGCCCAUAAAGGGUGGGAUUGCCAUAGGCAAAGAAGGAAAUGAUUACAAGGAACAGAUAAGGAGUUCAUUAGAGCCAAGGUCAAGAGAAGGAAGAACCUUAGAAGUAUUCUGGAAGUGAUGAUAAACCCACCCAUGAAGGCAUCAUUAUCUAAUGGGCUGAUAUAUAGUGAUACAAGUGUCUGCUUGUAUUUUCUUUUUCCGCAUGCAUGGAUUUCUAAAGUCCAGUCCCAUUUAGGAUGCACGCCCAUGGAAUUUGGUGAUGAGUUGAAAAUAAGAAUGCUGUGCAAUUUUUUAAUAAGAAACUCUAGGUGUGCCUUUGCAAAUUUUGAAUUCAGAUUCACUUUAGAUCAGAGCAGGCACCCCAAAGCUUUCUUGCUUGUUGCAAGUUUAUCUAAAUCUCUUGUAAUUACUUCAGCUCAUUGUCUUCUGAGCUCAGCCAGAACCUGAAAGUGCAAAGGUGCAUGAAAAAUAAAAAUAACCACUUUAUCAGGCAUUUCUGAACCUUAAAGGAAGGGUUUGGGUCAGGGUAAGCUUGAGGGAUGAGCAUUUAGAAGUUCUUAUUUUCCCGUACAGGUUGUCCACCUAAAUUUUACGAUAGUGAAAACUGUCUGAUUAAAUUGCCUGUUUUUCUGUUUGCACUUUGAUAAAUCACUUUUAUGCAGAUAGUAAAACACACAGCAAACUUGGCAGUUUCCAGACUGGUCCAUUAUUCAUGUUCUGCCUCUCUCUGUGCUGAAACCAGACUUAAACACAGGAAUUGUUCCCUUUUUGUGCAGUGGGAGGAGCACUGGCCUGGAGCACAGGCAGGUGCUUGGGGACAGGGCUGGCUGGGAGCAGAGGCCCUGGCAGCAUCGUGUCCUUGGGAAGCACCUUCCAAAAUCUGCACAAACUUGUAUUUCCAGCCCUAAAAAGAAAGGAUCCCCAACUGGCAGCGCUCAGAGAAGGAAAAACUUAAAGUGAUGAAGAGCCGGACCAAACAUUUCAACUUGUGCCUCAUUUUUUUUUUUUCUAAAGUUUUAAGAUUUCUUAACCGACUUUUUUUUUUUUGCUGUGUAAGGUAAAACAGGCCCCAGGCAACUUUAACUUGCAUGACCAGCAUUCACCAACCUUGGCAGAAGCACAAAGGUCGCAUUUAACUUCUCACACAGGCGAACUAUUGAACAAGGUCUUCUAUGUACUAGGAAUAACAAGGAUUUUCUUUACCAUCUAUUGUGUAGGUUUCUUCUUUUCAUCUCUUCUUUCCUCCAGAGAAUACACUGAUUUUCCAUGAAACAGGUUCCCUUCACAAGACUGAAUAUAACUGCUCAGUCCUGCCCACCCUUAAGGCUGUGGUGGGAAGAGCAGCUGAGAGUUUGGAGUUUAAGUGUGAAUUUUAGUUUAAAAAAAUUAAAGAAUACCUGAAAAGCAGAAGAUAAUGGGAAAAUGUAUUUAUAAUCUUGUUUGACAUCCUGAUCUCAAAGAAUGAUGCUUAUCGCAUUGCUCCUGAGAUCCAACAAUGUGUAUUUUACUCUAUUAGAAUACUAAUUCAUGUGAAAAUCUAACAUUAAUGAACAGAAAGAUCAAAUAUAACAGUGAAUUUGACUGUUCAGGUAAAGUAAAAUAUUCAUAGAAUUUUAUUUGUAUGUCAACAUGAUACAUACAAUCCAACUGGAGCUGAAGGUUGGCUGGGUGGAAGGAUGAUGGCAUUGGGAUCUGUCACCUCAUCCGUGCCACUCACCAAGGACACGGUGACACAGCCCCAAUUUCGAACCCUUUUGGCAGGUAGGAUUAAAACGGAGCAGGAACCCACCACGGGUGGUGGUUAUAACGGUGUUCUGAGCAAUGUCCUGUGAGCAAAACUCGGAGCAGAGCUACGUGAAUUUGCAGAUGCACAGAUGGGGAAUAGCUGGAUGAAGGGGAACUGAUUUACCCUGUAAAUGGAAAUGUUUUGGGGGAAGGACCGUGUGGUUUUGCUGUGUUGAGGAGAAAUCGUGCUUUCCUGCAAUAAAGUGCUGCAGUUUUGUGCUGCUGAAAAUUCGUGCUGUUAUAUCCUCAGCCUUGAUCAGCACGGCUGAUCUCCACUGUGGGACAUAGUCCUUUUUGGGCUGUUCUUUCAGGUGACUUGAAAUGGCUGGAGGUUCAUUAGUCCUGAGAAUAUUACAACUUGGUAGGAACACUUAUAAUUCAGUUUUCUUUUAUUUUCAAGUAGAGGGAAAAUGUUAUCUGCUGCUUGCUUUAUUUACAAUAAAAGCUGUAUGGGCAUGAACUGGAGUUUAUUACUGUCAAUAAGCUUGUGGAAGGCUAGAAGGAGGAGUUAUUACCUUUUUAAUCAGCAAUUUCUUUAUGCAGAAACAACGCUUGAAUGGACUGGUAACAAGAUGCUGAGCCACAACUCUGUGCUAAAGUGGCUGAAAUUUUAUUUUGUUUUAUUUUUUUACAUCAUUUUAACCUCCAUAAGGCUUUAUGCUGAAGAUCACUGAACAUAAACUGUGUUGGGUGGCACCCGCUUCCCGAGCGGUGAUAAGCAAUCAGCUCUGUGGCAGCAUAUUAAAAGGCAACCGUAUCGACGAUGCUCUUUAUUGCCUAAUCAAAAUAUUUCAGGGUUUUUACAUUUUGCAAGGCUGACUUGCCAAAGGCUUCCUCGAGCCGCACAUGCUGCUGCUUUGUCUUGCUUUUCUGCCUUAUUGAAUCCCAUUAAAAGACAAACAACUCGCGCAGUCGUUAGGCACCGCGCUGACAACACCUGUCAGUCUGUCACUCCGAGUCACAGGCAGAUACCGUGGAGCUUCAUUUGGGCAGAAUUAAGAGGAAAAUAGAAAGAAACGUAUCUGGGGCACCUGUUGUCAGCAAAGGAGUGAUGGGAUUAUUAUUGCCCAAAAUGAACUCAACGUGCUGCUCAAAGGCAGCCGGUAACAAGUGCUGUUGUACUUAAUCAAUGCUGUUGAGCAUGGUCGUGGAUUUUCAAAUAUUUUCCUGAUUUUUCAUCAGGAGGGGGUGUCUGCAUCAGAAACAUUCAGUUAUGCACACCCUGGAAAUGCAAACCCAGGCACAUAAACAAAUGCACUGGAAAUGCUCAUUCUUCAGUGAUUAAUUGCCAUUAACCUCACUUGUGUUUGUGACCUUGCAAAGUGACUAACAAGUACUACUUCAAUCCCCAGAGAUUUGAUUUGCUUGAGAAGGACUAUUAAAAGGAUUAAGGAUUAAUUGCAAGACUCUUUUUUUUCCAAGAGGGAAAGGUUUAUUAUUGUAUCAGGUGUCUACACACAGAGAAAACAUCUUUUCUACAGAGGUAAAAGAUUAAAGGGUUUGAAAGCAAACACUGUAGAUACUCUUUCUUGAAAAAUGUGCAGUAGCUCUAAGUCUGGUUGUGUUUGGUCUUUUAACAGCCGUUAUUCCAACAGUUAUUACUUAGUGACUUGCAUGUUCAAUGAAGCCUGUGCAAAAACAAUUUGCAGUUUUGUCUUUAUUUCUAUUUUAAAUCUUUGAUUGGUUUCAGUCUAAUUUAGGUUAUAGAGAAAGAAAAUGGAAGAGAUCUCUGGUAAUUCUGUAUUACCUUAUCUCGGCUGAAUGAAAUGCUGUUGUUCAGAUCUGCCGCUCCUGGAAGCUGCUGAGGAAGGUCACCUCAAUGGGGAUUUUCAUGGAAAUUUGAUGGUUCCAGGUUGUUCUGACCUUACUGAUGGGAAAACAGGGCAGUACCUGAUAGUCUAUGAAGUCUGUCAGUUAUUGAUAAGUAAAAUUUGGGAUAUAUAUUCUUUACAUACAUUUUAAAAAAUGAGAGAAAGCAGUAUGUAGGGUAGGGAGAAAGAGCAAAGAAAUCGCAUAGGACACAGUCCAUGUGGUUUAUUUUCAUACAUGUGGAUUUCAAAUUCAACUUAAUUAUUUUAUUUCUGCUGCUGAUUUGUUAAAGACCUAUUACUACUAGUCCUGCCAUGUAGCUUUUAAGAACCACGGCAUACCUAUUAAUGCAUUGUGUUUUCAAUUAGAAGUGAAGAAAUCAGUAUAGAGUUGGUUGCUAUUUUGCAGUUUGAAAUGAUCUUAACUUGACCCACCCUCCCUGAUGUCGAAGGUAAAUUAAGAGUUGAUUUCACAUCAUGAUCCCACACUAUCUGGAUGCCCAGGAACCGGUUCACAUCCUGACUCCUGGAUAUUUCAUGUGGACUUGCAAGACUUUAUUAUUUAACUCAUCCAUUCCCAUAGCAGCACACAAACCACUGUUCCACUGAUUGCAUUCAGACAAUAGGUUCUCUUUUGUUUUUCCAGACCUCCAUGUCAUUCUAGUUUCUCUCUUAUUCAGUCUGAAUUAGCUUUAUUUAAUUUAUUUUUCAUCUUCCGUCCUAUACCACUGUUGGACCCAGUGUUAUGGUGAACCUCUUAUCCCUGUAUUGGAAAUUUGUGUAGCUCUACAUGGCUCUCAUGCUCCUUCCAUGCCCCGUGUGAGCCCAGGGUGGGUCACAGCAUCUGUAUUUAACAGCUGGGCUGAUAAAUGUAACCUGAGUUCAUGAGAUGUAGAAAAAUAACAGUAAAAACUCUUCUCUUUUAAUAAGCAACUGCCAGGCUGAUUGCCAUCACCCAUUUCCCUGCUCCCUCAUCUUCAUGAGGCAUCUUCUAGGGUGAAAUGUCAGUUUUAUGGGGACGUUGUCGCUGACCUGAGAUGAAGUUGGAUGCAACUCCAAGUGCUGUUUCUUUACAAGAAAGCUGCCUUUGUAUCCAAAAGCAAACAUCAACACUGCAUGGCUCUUUCAGCCGAGUUUCACCUGUUGAUUUUGUAUUACCAGGAACAGAAUAUCUGAUCUGCAGAGGGAAUAAGGUUGGCUGGGGUCACAAAUCACAAGCAAAACCACAAACGGCUGCACAAGGGAUGGGACUGCAGGUAAUCUGACUUGAAUUCCUGAACAGUUCAUUGUUACAAACCGAGAAUUUUUCUACAAACCUAGAAUUUCCAACUGUUUCCCACCUGCAAAAUAACAAUUUCUCACAAUUCUAAUCAUACUGAGAAGCAAUCUCUUGUGUGGUGGGGGGAAUAAUGAGGAUCGUGACCAUCAUGGCUAUACCUGUACCCAAUGGGAAGGGUUGGGAUGGCAGGCGGAUUUACAGUGGUCGUGCAAGGUGAUACAGGAGGAUGUUUGGACCGCACUCACCCAGCCUGAGCCAAGCUGGUCCCACCACGGCCAGAGGGUCCCACAUCCCCGUGACAUGGAGUGAAGCCCUGGGACCUGCAGUCAUUCAAGGCACCAGGGAAGUUUUUGUUGGAGAUAUUCAGUCCCCGAGUCUGAAAACUCCUGAUGGAUGGACACCUUUGAAAAUGUUAAUCUGCUUACAGUGUUGAAAAAGAAGUAAGAACAUUCCAGAAAUGAAGAAAUGAAAACAUGAACAGCUCAGACUCUCCAACAGGAGGCAGGGGAAGGGUUUGGAACACGAGGUGCUCCCAUUCGUCUCUCCCUGACAGGACAGUGACAUCACUUGCUCACUGUGCCCAUGUGUAUUGGAUUGGGAUGGGGGACCUUGACACGUUCAUCACAUUAACUAUGACUCCUGUUGCAACAGCGUCUACCCCAGUCACCCAAACUAUACAUUAAAAUUAUGCUGGGAGUACUAAUUCUUUGAAUUUGCGGGGGAGAUAAUUCAAUCCUGUUCCUUUCUACACCUUCAGAAGGAAAUCCCAUCACCACUUGGAAAGUGAGAGUAAACAAUAACCUUAUGCUCAUUGAGAUCAUAGAACACCAGGUUGGAAGAGAACACAAGGAUCAUCUGGUUCAACCUUUCUUGGCGAAAGUUCUAGACAAGCUGGCCCAGCUGAAUCUUUUCAAAUUUCCCACUUUCCUUAGUGCUGCAAUUGAGCUUCUCUUCUGAAGCUCACACAAUCCUGAUGUACUCCCAGCUGAGAAAAAGGGGGAUCAAAUGGUUGACGAGCAUAGGAGAUUCCAAAGUUCUUUCAGCAGACCUGGGUAAGCACAAUAUUAUUAUCCACCUUCAAGUUUACUUGUACCUCUAGAUUAUUAUACACCUUUGAGUGUCUUGUAUCUCUAGAGAUAAGAUGAUGUUGUCUGUUGUCUUGGGUUAACACAAAACACUGUAAUUGCCUAUUUAUGCACACAGAUUCCUAUGUACCAAAACUGCUUGUUUGAUCAGAGAUUACAAUAUGAGUACUACCUUUUGUCUGACUUUUCCACCGAUUUCUUAGUAGCUGUGUUUCAUCAGAGUAAACCUGCCCGCCUAGGAACGUCACAGAAUAACCUACUGAAAAAGAGACAACACUGGAGUAUUGUCUGCUUAACAUAAUGUUCACAAUAUUUCCCUGUUGAAAUCUCCUACAUGGCUAAUAAAUAUUUAAUGAACAAUGGUCUGUCUUGUGACAAGGUAUUAAUAACUCCAAAGAAGCUCUGUUGGACUUCAGCUGCUGCUGGGAACUGGAAUUUGUCUUAGUUUAUGACCAGGAAGAUAAUUUUAUUUUAAUUUGAUGCAUUUUGAUACGUUGCAUAUACUGUUAGGUUUUAGUAAAACAACAUUAAAAUUAAUUUGAAUUAGCUAUAACAUUUGAUAAGAAGGGGUGAUUUUAGGUUCUCUGGAUUCCCUUGUUGCUUGAUGCUAAACUUUAUUAGCAAGGUCGAUGCUCCUCUUUUGGGGCACCCCUAUUAUACUUUACUGCAAUGAUUUUGGUUCCAUUUUUCCCCCUGUCCUGUGUCUCCCUCCCAGAGCAAAAUCAAAAUAUUUUGAUAUAUAAGAUCAAAAUCAAAACAGCUGGGGUUUAACUCUUGGCUGGACCAGACUGGUCUGUGCUGAGCACUCGUGAGAAUGUACCCUUUACAUCUUCUGGGUGAAAUCUUCCCCACUUCGGUGACAAUGAGAGUUUUGUGGCUUCUGUUGGACGAGAAUCCCAGCGCUUCUAUAGACCAGGGAAACUGUACAGAGAAAUCUCACCAUUUCUGUGAAAACCCAUGGUCACGAAGACUGAGGCACAGGUAACAGAUAAACAUCUGUUUUUAAAGGCCACACUAUGACCAUUGUUUCCAUAAUCUACAAGGGCAACAAAGAUGAUUAAGGGAGUGGAGCAUCUCCCUUAUGAAGAAAAGCUGAGGGAGCUGGGUCUCUUUAGUUUGGAGAAGAGGAGACUGAGGGGUGACCUUAUUAAUGUUUAUAAAUAUAUAAAGGGUGAGUGCCAUGAGGAUGGAGCCAGGCUCUUCUCGGUGGCAAACAAUGAUAGGACAAGGGGUAAUGGGAGGUUCCACUUAAAUUAGAGAAAAAACUUCUUCUCAGUGAGGGUGACAGAACACUGGAACAGGCUGCCCAGGGAGGUUGUGGAGUCUCCUUCUCUGCAGACAUUCAAAACCCACCUGGACAUGUUCCUGUCCGACCUCACCCAGGCGUUCCUGCUCCAGCAGGGGGAUUGGACUGGAUGAUCUUUUGAGGUCCCUUCCAAUCCCAAACAUACUGUGAUACUGUGAUAAUCUAGGCUAUGAACUUCAGCCAGCACUUAGAUAUCAGACAUUUGCAUUACAGUCGCUGGGCAGCUAAAGGUUUUCCAACUUUCUCAGUAGGAUCGAAAUGUGCAGUUUUAGCCUUUAUUUAAAUCUAUAGUACAUUGUUUAAGGAACCCCUGCAAGAAGAACAAAACAAUGAACAUUGAUAACAGUAAACAGUAGUAAACCAUUGUUAUCGCUCACUCUUUGUACUGCACCUUUUGUGGUCCACUUUAUUUAACAACUUUAUCUCUGAUUUUAUGUUUUUAUCUAUGUGUUAAGGCCUUUUGUGCAUAAAUAAACCCUGUCAGGGCCGCCAUAUGACAGAUCUGGCAUUUCUAUUCUGCCAGCUGUGACGUGGGCAGAAAUGUUCACUGCUUGUUUAAUGAUAAUUCUUUAAUUAUAGAUCAGAUAUAAUCUAACUUUAGUUAAGGUUGCACACAGAGUAAGUCCUAGUGAAGACAAAUCGAUAUGACAUGCAUCAAUUAGAGGAUUUUUAGGGGUAAAUAUUAAAUUGAUGAGGAUUGUGAGAAAUAGUAUGUUCAAUCUACUAUGCAAUUCAACAUUUAUUGUCAUGUUGAAAAUAGGGGGACGUGGUUUAAUCUGUAAUUAUGGUAAGGGAAUUUAGAUAAUGCUGUGCAUGAAGAACCAGCCAUAUUUCCAUCUCCAGUUCACUUUACAGCAUCAAAAAAUACAUCCCUUUUUAAAACUUAAAUAUCUUACAUAUUUUAGGCUCUUCUCUUUCGAGGCUGAACCUUGAACCCACAAACCAAAAGUGCAGCAUCACUCCCACCAGAUGUGUUUUUCUUUCCCAAAUGGACCAGAACCUCAUUUCUUUUAAAUGCUUCUCGAACAGUAUUUGAAGAAUUGUGGGGUCUUUAAAGAGUUGGGGAUCUUGGGGGUGUUUCAGCCCAUUUUCUUGGUCUCUGACAGGUCAGUUCAGCUCAGGAACAUGUUCUCCCCUUUUAUUAGGAAGAGGCACAGACAUGUUCAGUUACUCAGAAACUCAACUUACUCUGUAUUUAAGAUGAAGAAGUCAAGGUAACUCCAGAGAGUUUAAAGACAAGAAGCAAAAGCAAUAAAUAAAACCUGUUUUAAAUAUACAAGAGCGACACAGAGAUACCCUCUAGAUAUUGAUGUGCCACUUUUUAAUAUAAUACUUCUCAGCUAUCACAUGCCUCUAUAAGAAAGGAAAAUGCACUGACAACAAGCUGCUGUAUCUCUGCUCGCAAGGGUGAUGAAACAGCCUGGCUCAGGUUGUUCUGCCCGAGAAAUAAUGUGGAAUGAGCAAAUCAGUUUGCAAUGCACAUCUUCCCACAGAAAAUCACCGUCACUCUUUUGCAAACUCGGCUGAAACAGUGCGUUUUAGGGGCUGCGUUGCUGGCCAUCAAUUAGAAGUCGGAUGAUAGCUGAUUAAACUAUUUUUGCUGUGCGUGGGCUCUGGAAAGGAGCAGUUUCACAGGGUUGUUCCAUUUCUUUGUGUUUUCUUUCUGAGGCACACAAGGUGUAUUCUUCCUUUCUUUUGCCUGUUUAUCCAUUUGCAGAAUAGAAACUGCAUAGUACUGUGUUUAGAUAUAAUUACAAUAAAAUACAGUAGAAAUAAAAUUCCAAGCUGAAUAGUAUAAUAUCUCCAUCACAUUUUCCCUUGUGCCUUGGUUUAAAUUUCAAACCUGCUCACUGAUGCUCGGAUUUAUAUCUGGUUCUCUGAUUAAUGGGUAUUAUCUGACAAUCCCAUUGAUGAGGUCCAGCUGAGCCAUGUCCCUAACAGGGGACGUCCCUCCUGAUGAUGAGGAGGAGCAGGGCCCAGGUCCUUUCCAUGUGGCCAAGGCUUCGUCUGAAACUUUGGAAACACUCCCCUUCGGCUUAUCUCUUUUCCCAUUUCUGUGCAUGGCAAAAAGAAGGAGGGGAGAAAGAAAAACGAGUUUGGUUUGUAAGAGGAACCACUGGGAGGCCAUAAACUAUCAAGGUGCCUCCGCUUAGUACAAGAAUAAAUGAAAUCAGCUGGGUAUCAGAAGUGCUUUUUCCUUUCCAGCCUGCUGAAAGGAUAACAAACAUAAUGAUGAUUAAUCAUGUUCUUUGCAGCUAUAUGUGUGGUUUUAUCCUAUAAGAGAUCAAAGCGGAGCUCGUGCUUUCACAGAAAGUGCCAACUGGCACCUUCUUCUUUUUAUAAGGGUUGUCUGGAAGGCAUUUGUGUUCAGAUAUGCCAAAGGAGCAAAGGCAUAAAUGUACAAUGCCAAGAAAUGAAAUUCUCCAGCCGUAAGUCCUUCAGAGGGAAUGCCAAGUCAUGUCAUAACAUUAUUCAUAUUUCAAGAUAUUUAGUUUCUUUUUUAUUUCUAAUGUUAAAAUGUAAACGCCUUUGACUGUAAAUCACUUAACGCAUUAAUUUUAGUAAGUAUUUGAAUGUGACAGCUUUAUAUGAUAAGUGAAGAUUUUUGCUUCUCUUCAGUUCUUUCUAAUCUUCCCUUUUAAUAGAUGCUGAUAUUGAAACAGAGAUUGUAAUGACUUUUUUCAAUGUGUGGCCAUGCUUGGAAACAAAAUCUGAACACAUACCUUAGUCCUUAAAUUCUGAGUGCUCAUCUAUUAGAGCAUUUUAUCCAAGUAAACCCAAAAUUACAGACAACAUGGAGUUGUGUUACUACAGAGUUAUGCUGAACUAUUCUCAAACUCAUAAACAUUGUCCUUUUAAAUAAAAUCAGACUUCUAGGUAUAAAAAUUUCCCAGGUUCAAUCAUAUUGUAUCAGGACACAGAGAAAAGCUGAUGGACGUUAAACAGCUGUUCCUUUUUCCAUAAUUUAAACUGUAUAAUAAUAAUAAAGUGAGGAAAUAUAUUGCUUUAGCAUAUAGUUAUCAUGAAAACUGACAGUAUAUAAAAAUCUUUAAUAUCGUAUAAUUCCGUGAUUAAUUACAAUUUUUGGCCUCAUUCAAGAAAAAUACUGUCUUUCUUUAAAAUGCUCCUGACUCCACAGUACAACUUUGGGAACAGACUGUUCAACUUUUGGAAACUGAUUCUGUCCACAGGGAGAAAUUUUGCAGGGCUUUCCUACAGCCUUAUGUUUCCUAUAGUAUCCCUCCACUAGCAUUAUAGAUGAGUAUAAAAGUAACAUAUAUAGGUAACAGCAAAAUAUAGCCCUGGAAGUCAGUCCAGGUUUCUCUUUCAAACUCUACCAUCCUAUCCUCAAAUUCACAAAGUAAAUAAAAACAAAAUUUAACGAAACAUAUAUGAAUUUGCAUGACUAUCCCUUAAAAAUACAAAAUCCUAGUGAGAGAGGGAUUUUAUGUCAGAAUGCCUGAUGUUACAUUUUAAAUGUGAUCAGACCAGGAAAAGUACUGCAAUUUUUCAUUCAACCAUCACAAAAUGGAGACCUAACUCUUGGGUCUGAUUUCUAGUCAAAAUACCAACCCAUCCACCUUUCCAAGUGGUCUCAGUAUUUAACUUUGAGGCUUGAGUUUAAGUGUUAGUCCAGCUGUGCUGUGUCCACCUGCCUGGUGGCACUCAGUGGCCUAAUUGCAGGAAAUGUUCCCAAAUGUAUUUGUAGUUCCUGUAACAGAGGCUUUGCUGGAGGGCGGUGAUAAAUUUCAGGUUUGCACUCCUUGGCAGGGCUUGGCAACCUCUUUCCUGACGGUAGAGACCUGGGGAGAAAACAGGCAAAAUUAACACAUUUUUUAAUUUGCUGCUUUGAGUCUUGACAAAAAAAAUAUGCUCCUGAGGACUGCUGAUGUAUUUUUUUAUCUUACUAUAGCAUCAUAGACUGAUUUAUUAUUUCCUAUUAUCACUAAUAUUUUCAGCAAACUGAGUAAUCACUGGCAUUUUGUAUCCAGUGUAAAAAUGCAGCCUGAAUUCUUGUUGGAAGAGUCUGGGAGUGGGCAAAAGAAAAUUUGUUUUAGCAUCAUGGCCCUGCAAAAUUCAGCGAUUAGAAUAAAGUGGCCCUUGUUUCUGAUACCUCCUAUUAGAAACAGUGAGACUCUUUGGACUUCAGUGUCCAUCUUGUACCUCAGCUCGUUAUUGGGUAAGUACCUUGAAAAGAUGACCAGUGUUGAAGCAAAGAAGCAUAAUAACUUGAAGCAGAUGCAUCAAUAAAAACUCAGUAAGGAGACAGAAGCUGGGGGCAGGGACUCAGUUUCUGUUGGUUUGGGAUGUGGAAAAGCAGCUGUGAUUCUUGGCUGCUGUGCUGCCAGGAAGGUUUCUGGCAUAUUCCAGGGGAGAGAAUAGGUCACUUAACUCUUGAAGUAAAAAGGUAUUGGGUCACCAACAGGCCAUGAGAAGACCUUCCUAUCCUAUCCCCCAAAAUAGCUCGCUCCAAAACAAAACCCCCUCAUUCCAGGUAAGCUCAUGAAUGCUGAGGUCUGCCUUGGUGAAUCCUGAAUUUUCUUGAGUUUCUGGACUAGUGUGGAAUCCGUUUUCAGCUUUGCGAUAGGGUUUGCUGAGCCCGAGAGCUGCCAUGGCCAGGGGUGGCCUUGCACCUCUGGUUGUCUCAUUGCACCUCAUCUGGCUGCACCUUCCUCCCCUAAUGCUGCAUAAAGGCCCUUUUGCUUCUAGUGGAGUCCCAGUUUCCAGUUGCUCUGAGACCACAUCCUCUCAAUAAUAAUCUUUUAAUCUAACCUUAAUUACCGCCUUCUCUCCCUCUCAAAAUUUCCUUCAAGUUCAAUAUUUCCAGAGUGCUCACUGGUUCCUGUUGGAAAUAGCCUGAACUGCAUAAAAACAGAGUAUGUUUAAAAAGCUUCAUAUUCAGGGACUUCAAGAACCUUCGGCAUAUCUUUUCACUCCCCGAACAAAAGAAGAGCCCUAGUAUUCACCGCUGUGCCUACUUCUGUAAAGAACCUACAAAGCAUGUAGAAAAAAAGAGGUUAAAAUGCAAAUUGCUGCAAGACUCUGAAGUAUAAAGCAGAACUGAAAAUAUUACUGAACAUUUUGAAAGGCUGGAUUGCUUUCUGGAAAUGAGAGGGGACCACGUGCUCUAUAUUCUUCUAUUACUGGGCACCAGAUGUUUUAGCAACCAUAACUAGUAUUUAAAAAGCUAAACAAAAACCAUCCCAAACAAAACAACUUUAACCCUUUUGCAGAUAAAAGUCUGUGUCUGCCUAAAGCCAGAGGAUGUUUUUAUUGUCUGUAACCUUUUCUUUGGCCACUGGGUUGUCAUAGGAAACAUCUGGGAAGCUGCAAAAUUCUCAUUGCUUAAUGUCAGGAAAUUCCCAAUAUCUUGCAAAACUGGAGCACCUGAAGUUGGGUUUUUUCCAACCCUUGUGCAAAGAAAAAGGCUGAAUUUCGGAGGACAGGUGAUUCCGGCCUCUAUCUCAUGAUGGUUGUCUUGUAAUAUCUCUCUUUGGUUGCAGGAACAGUGCCCUGCUUCAAAUACAGUGCUUCUAUAUUCCACUGGUGUGAUGCUGUAUCAAAAACCUUUCAUUUUUAGAAACAUAAUACCUGAUAAGCAGCAUUAUCAAAAUAUCUUCCAGGUUUGGUUUGCUUUUUUCCUCCCAUAAAAAUGUUAUUUCCACUGUUUCUCCCUUUUUAAUGGAAAGCAACAAACAGCUGUUGCGAUGUAACAACAUCCCAAACCACCGCUUUCGUGCAUCAGUGUGUACAAGCAUAUGGAUGCCUUUGACGGAAUAAAAAGUAUUCUUAUGAAGUGUACUCCCAGGCUUUGGCUUUGAGAAAGUUUUAUAUUAUGUCUGUAUUUCAAUAAGAAAAAAUACAUCCUUUUCUUUUUAUCUUCAUGACGUUGUUUCCCAAUACGAUAGAACUUGUCUUUUACUUUGUUUUAGAAAGUAAUUUGCUUCUGAAGCCAUGAAUUUGCUCAAAUAACCCCAAAUAAUCAUACAGCUGCUUAUUAUCGUGAUGUCUAUGAGCGCAGAGCUCAUGAUUUCACCAAUACCUCUACGUGUCAAGUCAUGCGUGAAGGUUUUGACGGUCUCUGUCCGCCUGUCCUGGUUUUGUUAAAAACAAGUUUCUCUUUUAGUGAAUUUGCCUGUCAGCUAAAGCCUUCAUAUUAACUGCACUUUCCUGGAGAACCAGACACAUGUUUUGGUAAACCUAGCAAUGGAAUGCAAACUUAUUGAUAAGCAUGGAUGGACAUCUCGCGAGAGGGGCGACAAGAAACAAGUGACCAAGAAACUGACCAACUGUGUAUAACAUCCCAUUCACGUGAAUACUUCAUAUAAAAGUGGGAGAUCACGAGGAUCUUGUCCCUUUGCCUUUUGCCUUUUCCCUUCUGCUCAUUGCCGACAUUAGGAGAGGACCUUGCUAGUCGUCCCUGUGAACUGAGGCCUAGUGACAGACUGAAUCCAGCUCCGGUUGGCUGCAGAGUCCAGUCCAGGACUUUGGUUGCCGGCUCUGCAAUUGCUGAGGCUUUCAAGAUUGGUUUUGUAUAUUUUGUAUUAUUUUCUCUAUUCUUAUUAGUAGCAUUAGUAAAACAUCUUUAAUUUUU